CAGCGGCCGGCGUCCCGGAACGGGAAGGGGCAGGGCCAAGAGGUGCGAGCCUCGGCCGGGAGGGUUUAAACGGCGCGCAGGCGCGCGUCGCGGUUGAGAAGGCGCGGAUCUUGGUGGCUGUGGGCCGUGGAAGUUUCAGGUGGGUGGUGUCCGCAGGUGGUGAUGCUGGUGCGGGUGGGGUCGCUGACCCUGUGUCAGGCCCUGAACUUUCCUGGGCUCGGCUGUCCGCUCCAUGAAGACAGUUAGUCGCGGGACUUCGCAGAGGCUUGGUGCGAGCGCGAACGGAGUUUAUUCCCGGCAGAGCGCUUCGAAGGGUGCUUGGCCCGAGGUCGGCGCACGGAGGGGGUAGCCCCUGUCGUUACUGCCGCGGCGUCCCCGGAAUCAGUCCGCUUCACUGCAUCCCCACCGCCCCUGCCGUCUCACUCCGGGGUUCGUCUCCAAAUUGUUCACCCCCAGUUAGGGAACGUCGUGUACUAAAAGGAACUAUGUCUCAGGAAGGCGAUUAUGGAAAGUGGACAAUAUCCAGUAGUGAUGAAAGUGAAGACGAAAAGCCAAAACUAGACAAGCCCCCUACUUUUUCCCUCCCUCGUGCUGGGCAGGGAGCAGCAAAUGAGCCAAGAUACACCUGUUCCGAGGCUAGGAAAGCUGCCCAUAGAAGGAAAAGGUCACCCGUGAAAUUCAGCAACGCAGAUUCAGAAGUUUCACCUCCCAAAAGGCAAAGGAGUGGUUCCCAGGAAGACCUAGGUUGGUGUCUCUCUAGCAGCGAUGAUGAGCUGCAACCAGAAACCCGGCAGAAGCAGGCUGAGAACAUUGUGGUCAAAGAGGAGAGAGGCAUCUCUUCUAAAGACAGUGCUGCCCAAAGACCUGGAAAUCCCACCCCUCCUGCACACCACAGGCUCGAGGAGGAGGAAGAGGAGUAUGAAACUUCAGGGGAAGGCCAAGACAUUUGGGACAUGUUGGAUAAAGGGAACCCCUUCCGAUUUUACCUCACUAGAGUCUCGGGCAUUGAGCCAAAGGAUAACUCUGGAGCCCUCCACAUCAAGGAUAUUUUAUCCCCUCUAUUUGGGACACUUCUGUCUUCAGCUCAGUUUAACUACUGCUUUGAUGUGGACUGGCUCGUAAAACAGUAUCCACCACAGUUCAGGAAGAAACCAAUCCUGCUUGUGCAUGGAGAUAAACGAGAAGCCAAGGCUCACUUACAUGCCCAGGCCAAGCCUUAUGAAAACAUUUCCCUCUGCCAGGCAAAGUUGGAUAUUGCAUUUGGAACACACCACACGAAAAUGAUGUUACUGCUGUACGAAGAAGGCCUCCGGGUUGUCAUACAUACCUCUAACCUCAUCCAUGCUGACUGGCAUCAGAAGACUCAGGGAAUAUGGUUGAGCCCCUUAUACCCACGAGUUGUCCACGGAACCCAGAGAUCUGGAGACUCGACAACACAUUUUAAAGCCGAUCUUAUCAGCUACUUAAUGGCUUAUAAUGCUCCUUCUCUCAAGGAGUGGAUAGAUGUUAUCCAAGAGCAUGAUCUCUCUGAAACCAAUGUUUAUCUUAUUGGAUCGACCCCAGGACGCUUUCAAGGAAGUCAAAAAGAUCAUUGGGGACAUUUUAGGCUUAGGAAGCUUCUGAAAGAGCAUGCCUCGUCCAUACCUAAAGGAGAGUCUUGGCCAAUAGUAGGUCAGUUUUCAAGCAUUGGCUCUAUGGGAGCUGACGAAUCAAAAUGGUUGUGUUCGGAGUUUAAAGAAAGCUUGGUGACCCAGGGGAAGGAGAGCAGGACCCCAGGGAAAAGUGCUGCUCCCCUCCAUCUGAUCUACCCUUCUGUGGAAAAUGUGCGGACCAGCUUAGAAGGCUAUCCCGCUGGUGGCUCUCUUCCCUAUAGCAUCCAGACAGCUGAAAAGCAGAAUUGGCUCCACUCCUAUUUUCACAAAUGGUCGGCUGAGACAUCUGGCCGCAGCAAUGCUAUGCCACAUAUUAAAACUUACAUGAGACUAUCUCCAGACUUCAGUCAAAUUGCCUGGUUCCUUGUCACAAGCGCGAAUCUGUCCAAGGCCGCCUGGGGAGCAUUAGAGAAGAAUGGUGCCCAGCUGAUGAUCCGUUCCUAUGAGCUUGGGGUCCUUUUCUUGCCAUCAGCAUUUGGCCUGGACAGCUUCAGAGUAAAACAGAAAUUCUUCUCAGGGAGCAAGGAGCCAACAUCCUCCUUUCCGGUGCCAUAUGAUCUUCCUCCAGAACUGUAUGGAAGUAAAGUAAUCCUGGGAGGUUGCUUGUGCAGCUAAUUCCCAUUUCACAGACGAGGAACCUGAGGCCAAAUUUGAACAUAGGUCUUCAGGGUUGUUUCCAUCGUGUCGUAUCAAGAUCGGCCAUGGAUUUGGAAUAUUCCUUAUACCAAAGCACCAGAUACACACGGGAAUAUGUGGGUUCCCUCCUGAGAAUCUUAAAGUACUGUGGAAUUUAGGUUUAAGGCAUCAGGCCCCAAAUAUUAGAUGUUGUUUGUACUGGACGUUCACCCGUAAGUUUUAUCUCUACACCCCUACAAAACUGCAAAAGUCACUCCUGUGAACAUGGAUGCUGGUUAUACUUUUAAUGGUCAUUAACAGUGUCACUAAAAAAAAACCUCACUUUUCUAAACUUUGGAAUGAAAACUGGACAGCGUUAAGAGAAUACACGUAAAACCAUCCUCCGAGCGACGUGGGAUCUCACGGUGGUGCCAGCUCUUCUGAAGACGGACUCUGCGUGUCGCGCCCCAUCGGGAAAGGCGCUCUGGAUUCAAACGCAACUUGUCAGGGGAGGAAUGUGAUUGUCCGCUUAUUACCCAGCCCGCAGCUGUGUGUCUCAGGGUUGGCGGAGGUUGGGGCGGCAGCUGUUGAGACGCCUGGGUCCUGCUGCCUCUCGUCUCCCCGCAGCCUCACGGGGCUUGUCCUGCUCCCGGUGCUGUGCCAGCCCCCUCUCUGCGCACGGGCGGGUCGCGCUGCCCCUUACCACCUGCCCUUUCCUCGCCCGUUCCUCCGAGUGGAGCGGUGUCUCUUUCAUCCCCACAAAAUUCCGGAAAAGACACACACAACCAUACAAAAGUACAAGUAUUGUACUUGGAAGAAACCCUGAAAGAUGACCUAAUUUGGUGCCUUUGAUUCACAAGUGAGGAAACUGAGGCCCAGAAAGGUUCAGGAUGACCACCCCCUCCCCACCACGCCCCCCAUCACAUAGCUGGUUUGGGUCAAAGCUCUGAGGGUCUCUCUCUGCUUUAUGUUCCUGUGUCCUUCAUACUUAGAAAUCAAGUUCUCCUAAGAUGUAGACCCUCUUUUAUUUUUUUUCUACAUGAGGCUGAUUUCAUUUUGUCACCACCUUCAUCUUUGAAGCGUGUUGAAUGUUAAUUUUGAAAGAUUUUUGAAGAUAGCUUUUCAGACCGUUCCUCAGAGGCCUACGAUUUUCACCUUUAGGAGCCAGCGGGGUGGGCGGGGGUGCGUUGACAGAGAAGACAGCUGCGGGCCUCCACCCUCGUCCUGUCAGAGCAGCUCUGCUUCACCUAUUUUAGAUUGUGGGAUUCUGUCAAGGAUAUUAUCGACGGGUGUGUGUGUGUGCACGUGUUCUGCUUUUUAAAAAGUUGAAAAGCCA
RNA transcript from Felis catus (domestic cat), 3603 nucleotides. It is a transcript of the gene named tyrosyl-DNA phosphodiesterase 1, with no coding region annotated. The record is from RefSeq and is a predicted model, not a curated record. NCBI's taxonomy places the organism in Eukaryota, Metazoa, Chordata, Mammalia, Carnivora, Felidae. The transcript is spliced from 18 exons.